UUGCAUUAGAAUUAGAAUCUAACUACACUAAAAUUACACCUUUAAAUAUUCUAUUAACAAUA
This 62-nucleotide transfer RNA is filed under the name Nesticus dellingeri. Its description in RNAcentral is "tRNA-Leu". Lineage: Eukaryota; Metazoa; Arthropoda; Arachnida; Araneae; Nesticidae. The record is from RNAcentral.